Long non-coding RNA from Esox lucius (northern pike), 1157 nucleotides. RefSeq lists it as uncharacterized. Lineage: Eukaryota; Metazoa; Chordata; Actinopteri; Esociformes; Esocidae. The transcript is spliced from 3 exons. The record is from RefSeq and is a predicted model, not a curated record.
GUAGAAGAAGUAGGCUAGACGAAACAUGGUGAAUCUCCGAGUUGGGCUAUUGAUUUUUCCCAUGCCAGCAUUGUCUUUUUCACUCGUCAAUUUCACCUGCCUGAAGUAAAUAAAAGGAGCAAGGCGCUCAUCGUCCUGGCUCGUGAAUUCGAGUUUGGCUUGCUGUUAAACUGUGUCAACGUACUGGAAGUGCACAACACAUGGGGAGAACAGUAUACAGGCAAGAUGCAAUUUAUGCUGAAAGACGCUCAGGUUAGGGACCAUGGGGGGUGAAAGCUGUUGAAUCUCACAUGAAAUGUCAAAUUCACAGUACGCAGCAGCAACUAGUGGGGCUGUGUAAAUGCCUGUAUUAUUUGCACAUAGCAACCCUGAAUGUUCAGACUCCCUAGCAACUUCUCAGCAGUCAGCUUUGAGCAGCAUUGUGUCACCGCCAAGACACAAAGGGCUGAGGUGCUGUGGGUUCUCCACACAGUGAGCAGACACCAUUCAAAUCGAAUGAUGACAUACAUAGUGGCUUUGCUCCUAUGUUCUCUGAUUCGGAAUAAAUCAGAAUAUGAAAAUACAACCGCCAAAUAUGGCAGUGCCUCGUUCAUUAAAAGAGCUCUAUUGCACAGUGUUAGUAAGAAACCCUAUGUGAUAAUGUUUGAUGAGUGCAUGAAUAUAAUUACAAAGAGCAAGCAAAUGGAUCUCCAACUGAGGUACUGGACCACUCAUGAGAAGGGCACCCAUGUGAUCUCCCGCUAUUACACAUCGCAAUUUAUGGGUUGGAUCAUUUCCAUGAAGUUACAACAGAGCUGGAUCUGAGCAACAUGCUCCCUCUGUCAGUGGAUGGGCCCAGUGUUAACUGGAAGUUUCUUGAGCACUUGCAGGAGGAACACAGAGAGCAGUGUGGAGGAGAUUACAGAUUGUUAGUUGUUGGGGCCUUCACAUGAUGCACAACUCGCUCAAGAAUGGCUUUGCAGUGUAACAAAUUGAGAAGGUCCUCAGAACCCUGCACUACCUGUUUAAUUGUGCACCUGCAAGGAGGGAAGACUUCAGGUUGCUGACCAAGUGUGAUACAUUUCCUCAUUCAUUUUGUGGGCAUUGUUGACUGAAAAACCUGCCAGCAGUGAAAAGGUCAAAGCCAAGAAGUUCCCUAACCCAAGUUUGUCAUCAUA